GCCAUGUUGGUCCUGCCCAGCUUUCUCCUUCAUCCGCGCCCUCCCCAACAUCCUCUCUGUGCCCCAAAGUACAGUUUUGCAGCCAGAGAGUGGUCCCAGAGCCACAAGCAGCAGCAUCUGCCAUGACAUAAUGAAGAAAGAACGGAAUUUUGACUCAGUCAGUUCUGGAUUCGAAUUCUGGUUCUUCUCUUUGCCAAUAGAAUCUUGGGGGUAUGUGAGAACACCUACCUGAGCCUCAGUCUUCAGUUCUAAAAUGGGGACAUAGCAGCUUCCUCCGGGAGACCACAUGUACACAGUUCAGCACCCCACCCGAAACAGAAGAACCAUCAAAGACAUUAUAGCCAAAGCUUUAGAGGCUCCAAUUGUCCAGGAAACAAAGAUGACACGAUGGGGUAGCCACAAAAAGAGAGCGUUUUUAUGCAGGCUUUGGAGGGGCAGAGAUUCAUUUCAAGUCUCGGGCUGGACCCCAAGGAGAUGA
This 478-nucleotide long non-coding RNA is filed under the name Mustela putorius furo (domestic ferret). RNAcentral describes it as "lncRNA (ENSMPUG00000030044.1)". The record is from RNAcentral. Lineage: Eukaryota; Metazoa; Chordata; Mammalia; Carnivora; Mustelidae.